UGACAGCUGUCGAAAGAUGGUUUUCUUUCGGACACUCUUCAAGGUGCUGCAUGGUUGUCGUCAGCUCGUGCCGUGAGGUGUCGGGUUAAGUCCCAUAACGAGCGCAACCCUUACCGUUAGUUACCAUCAGGUUAAGCUGGGGACUCUAGCGGGACUGCCACCGUAAGGUGAGAGGAAGGUGGGGAUGACGUCAAAUCAGCACGGCCCUUAUGUCCAGGGCUACACACGUGUUACAAUGGCCGGUACAAAGGGCAGCUACUUCGCGAGAAGAUGCUAAUCUCGAAAGCCGGUCUCAGUUCGGAUCGAAGUCUGCAACCCGACUUCGUGAAGCUGGAUUCGCUAGUAAUCGCGCAUCAGCCAUGGCGCGGUGAAUACGUUCCCGGGCCUU
RNAcentral lists this ribosomal RNA (388 nucleotides) under uncultured Sphingobacteriales bacterium. RNAcentral describes it as "bacterial SSU rRNA". It matches the Rfam family "Bacterial small subunit ribosomal RNA", at positions 992 to 1382 of the family's 1533-position model. The record is from RNAcentral. Lineage: Bacteria; Pseudomonadati; Bacteroidota; Sphingobacteriia; Sphingobacteriales.